AUACGGAGGGUGCAAGCGUUAAUCGGAAUUACUGGGCGUAAAGCGUACGUAGGCGGUUAUUUAAGUCAGAUGUUAAAGCCCCGGGCUUAACUUGGGAACUGCAUUUGAAACUGGGUAACUAGAGUUUAGUAGAGGGGAGUGGAAUUUCAGGUGUAGCGGUGAAAUGCGUAGAGAUCUGAAGGAACACCAGUGGCGAAGGCGACUCCCUGGACUAGAACUGACGCUGAGGUACGAAAGCGUGGGUAGCAAACAGGAUUAGAAACCCCGGUAGUCC
This 274-nucleotide ribosomal RNA is filed under the name uncultured bacterium. Its description in RNAcentral is "partial 16S ribosomal RNA". It matches the Rfam family "Bacterial small subunit ribosomal RNA", at positions 523 to 796 of the family's 1533-position model. The record is from RNAcentral.